UACGUAGGGUGCAAGCGUUGUCCGGAAUUAUUGGGCGUAAAGAGCUCGUAGGCGGUCUGUCGCGUCUGCUGUGAAAACUCGGGGCUUAACCCCGGGCCUGCAGUGGGUACGGGCAGACUAGAGUGCGGUAGGGGAGACUGGAAUUCCUGGUGUAGCGGUGAAAUGCGUAGAUAUCUGGAGGAAUACCGGUGGCGAAGGCGGCAUCCUGGACCGGCAUUGACGCUGAUGAGCGAAAGCUAGGGGAGCAAACGGG
Molecule: ribosomal RNA, 253 nt
Filed under: uncultured bacterium
Lineage: Bacteria
Description: partial 16S ribosomal RNA
Rfam family: Bacterial small subunit ribosomal RNA
Source: RNAcentral